UGCAUAUCAAUAAGCGGAGGAAAAGAAACCAACAGGGAUUGCCCUAGUAACGGCGAGUGAAGCGGCAACAGCUCAAAUUUGAAAUCUGGCCCCCAGGCCCGAGUUGUAAUUUGCAGAGGAUGCUUUUGGCAAAGCGCGUACCGAGUCCCCUGGAACGGGGCGCCACAGAGGGUGAGAGCCCCGUAUGGUGCGACGCCGAGCCUCUGUAAAGCUCCUUCGACGAGUCGAGUAGUUUGGGAAUGCUGCUCUAAAUGGGAGGUAAAUUUCUUCUAAAGCUAAAUACCGGCCAGAGACCGAUAGCGCACAAGUAGAGUGAUCGAAAGAUGAAAAGCACUUUGAAAAGAGGGUUAAAUAGCACGUGAAAUUGUUGAAAGGGAAGCGCUCGUGACCAGACUUGCGCCGGGCGGAUCAUCCAGCGUUCUCGCUGGUGCACUCCGCCCGGCUCAGGCCAGCAUCGGUUUUCGCCGGGGGACAAAAGCUUCGGGAACGUGGCUCCCUUCGGGGAGUGUUAUAGCCCGUUGCUUAAUACCCCGGCGGGGACCGAGGACCGCGCUUCGGCAAGGAUGCUGGCGUAAUGGUCAUCAGCGACCCGUCUUGAAACACGGACC
This 608-nucleotide ribosomal RNA is filed under the name Gaeumannomyces radicicola. RNAcentral describes it as "partial large subunit ribosomal RNA". It matches the Rfam family "Eukaryotic large subunit ribosomal RNA", at positions 37 to 667 of the family's 3401-position model. The record is from RNAcentral. Lineage: Eukaryota; Fungi; Ascomycota; Sordariomycetes; Magnaporthales; Magnaporthaceae.